RNAcentral lists this long non-coding RNA (2471 nucleotides) under Homo sapiens (human). Its description in RNAcentral is "HSALNT0296954". Lineage: Eukaryota; Metazoa; Chordata; Mammalia; Primates; Hominidae. The record is from RNAcentral.
UUCUGAGUUCUCCAUUCUAUUUCAUUUUAUAUGUCUACCUUUAUGUCAGUACCACACUGUUUUGAUUAUUGUAAUUUUGUAAUUAAGUCAUUUAUUCUAACAGACUUUUUUAUUGUGUGUGGAAUCCUUAGCGUUUUCCAAACAUAAGAUUAUAUUACUUGCAAAAAGAAAUGUUUACUUUUUUCUUUACAGUUUGAAUACCUUUGAUUUCUUUUUCUUGCCUAAUUGCUCUGGCUAGAACUUCCAGUUCCAUGUUGAAUUGAAGUGAUGAAAAUGGGCAUCCUUCCCUUGUUCUUGAUAUUAGAGGGGAAGAUUUUAAUCUUUCACCAUUGAGUAUGAUGUUCACUGGGGUUUUUCACAUGUGGCUUUUAUUGUGUUGAGGUGAUUUCCUUCUACUACUAGUUUGUUGAGUGUUUAUCAUGAAAGGGUGUUGAGUUUUGUCAAAUGCUCUUUCACCAUCAAUUAAGAUGGUUAUGUUUUUUUCCCUUUAUUCUGUAAAUGUGGUAUAUUACAUUGAUUGAUUUUUAUAUGUUGAACCAUCUUGGCAUUCUAGGAAUAAAUCCCACUUGGUCAUGGUGUAUAAUCUUUUUACUAUGCUGAAUUCAGUUUGCUUGUAUUUUGUUGAGGAUUUUUGCAUCAAUGUUCAUAAGAAAUAUUGAUCUAUAAUUUUCUUUUCUGUAGUGUCUUUGUCUGGCUUCCGUAUCAGGAUAAUGCUGAUCUUGUAUAAAUAAGUUAGUAAAUGUUUCCUCUUCUUCAGUUAUUUAGAAAAGUUUGAGAAGGAUUGGUAUUUGUUCUUUAAAUGUUUGGUAGAACUCACCAGUGAAGCAAUCAGGCCCAGGACUUUUCACAGCUGCAUGUUUUAACCUUUAAAUUAAAGUGAAAAAAUCCUGCAAAGUUUCUUUAUAUGGUAUGGUAGUCACUUGACAUGGUCACUAGUAUUCCAAAUCUCCUCCCUCUGGGUCCAUGGGCACUUCUUUGCCCAUUGUGACCACGUGACUUGUUUUUCCAGAUGAAAUGUGAGUGGAGGGGAUAUGUGUCACCUUUAAGGGGAAGUCUUAAGACCCAAUGCAGAAUUCUACAAUCUCCAUUCUGCCUACCAUGGUGACCUGCAAAGUUCCAGAUUUCUGAUCUCUUUCAAUCUGCAUUCCUGAAUAAGGACAUGACACGGAGCAGUGACCCUGCUGACCUGUGAUGAACAUGUACCCACGAGUGAGAAAUAAACCCUUGUUGUUUUAAGCCAUUCUGUUUUGGGGAUGUUUGUUACUACAACAUAACCAAACUAAAAUACCUCACCUAUGGAUAAUGAGUGGUAACAUGUCAGGCAAAUUCCUCUUCUAUACCGGGUGCAGUCAUCUUUAGCUUGUCAGUUAUUGUCACAACUUGUUGGGAAGAUCAUCAGCUUAGCCACAUAGAGUUGCCUAAAUAUUUGAGCAGAAACCCCAGCCCUUCUGCAGGGUCUCACGUGAACAUCCUACCAGAUGUGGGGAUAUCAAGGUAAAAGACAGGGCAAUUCAUAUAAUAAUACCAACAGCAUACACUAUGUGCCAGGCACAGUUCUAAGCACUUUACAUGUCUUAGGAAAAGGUUUUUCGUAUCCUUAUUUUAGAGAUGAGGAAAACUUAAACACUUAGGUAACUUGCCUGGGGUCACACAACCAGUAAAGAAUGGAGCUAGAUUCAAACCCAAGCAGGCUGGCUGCAGUAGCCAGAAUGACCCAAUCGUAGUUCACAGUAGUAUUCACUCAAGGGAUUCAGUAGGAUCCAUAAUGAUUCAUAGGACAGAAUGCAUAUCUCAACAAAACAUAUGUUUGUUUUGUGUUGUCUGAAGGUUGUAGAUGAAGUACCUGGCAAGCAUGUCAGAAUUCUGAGCUGCCACUGGAUGAGAAACUUCCAUGUCAGAGAAUCCUUUCUCCUUCCUACAUGGAGAGGUGGUGAGUUAGUGAGUACAAUAAGAGAUAGUGCUUAUACGUAGAUGAGUUAUUAGAAAAUCUUUAUGGAGCACACGCUAUGUGUGGAGCAUGUGCCAGUAACAAGACAAGGAUGAUUGUCUUUGUGUCUCUGAGAAUCCAGCAGACCUCUAGGGAGAAGAAGGAGAGUUCACUUCAAUGAGCCCAGAGUCCCUCACUCUCCUGGCUUUUUGGAGACUGCCUGCCUUCCAUAGCCACAUUAUCCUAAGGGAGGAAAGAAAGAGUUAACAUUCCAUGGCCUUAUCCAAAGCCUUCUUUGACUGUUAUUGGGAAACAGUGCUUUGGGGGAUGAUACUGCUUAGUGCAAAUAAAAUGUCCUCUGGCCUGAACCUUAGAGAACCCUGAGCAUGGCAUCCACCUUGCUGUGGGAACCAACACUUUAAUUUCCUUUCCUCUGGCUCAACGCCUGUAAUCCUGGCACUUUGGGAUGCUGUGGCAGGAGGAUCAGUUGAACCCAGGAAUUCCAGCCUUGGCAAUAUAGCAAGACACCUUCUUCACAAAAAAA